This 64-nucleotide transfer RNA is filed under the name Diploderma splendidum. RNAcentral describes it as "tRNA-Thr". It matches the Rfam family "tRNA". From Rfam's summary of the family: Transfer RNA (tRNA) molecules are approximately 80 nucleotides in length. Their secondary structure includes four short double-helical elements and three loops (D, anti-codon, and T loops). Lineage: Eukaryota; Metazoa; Chordata; Lepidosauria; Squamata; Agamidae. The record is from RNAcentral.
AUCCCGGUAGCUUAACAAAAAGCAUUAGACUUGUAAACUAAAGACGGAAAUUUUCCCCGAGAUC